CAAGCCUGGCUAAGAUUCAACCCCACCGGAACAGAGCCAGAAUCGGCCCAGAUCUUUUGCAAGCUGAGCAGCUAGCCGCGCAGCCCACUUACCAGCCCAGGAGGACCACUUUAGAUAUUCAAAAUGAGCUACAGGUUUGGCUCCAACAAAUGAGCUAAUCUAAGACUGAAAGCUAUCUAACUUACAAAUACAUCAAAACAAGAGGGGGAGCCAUUGGACCACACACUCCAAGUUUCAAGUUUGUCAUUUGCACAUCAUGUCAAGACAUACGUGCAUUAAAAUGCUUGGGGUAAUUAAUUUACAGUAAUAAAACAGUGCAUAAUAACAACAAUAAUAAAAAAAAUCCAAUACAAUUAACAUUAUAAGAGAGUAAUUGUGCAACCAUACAAAACAUGCUAAAAUGUAACCAUAAACCAGAGCAUAAGUAUUAAACUGUAGUGUAAGGUAUAGAGGUCUAAUAUUACAAAGUAUUAUAAAGUAUUACAACUAGCAUUAUAAAUGUUAGUGUAAAUGUGUAACAGACAUUGUAAAAAUGUAACAUUAUGUUUAACCUAAUUAUAAAAAGAGUAACUAA
Long non-coding RNA from Astyanax mexicanus (Mexican tetra), 574 nucleotides. RefSeq lists it as uncharacterized. The transcript has 2 exons. NCBI's taxonomy places the organism in Eukaryota, Metazoa, Chordata, Actinopteri, Characiformes, Acestrorhamphidae. The record is from RefSeq and is a predicted model, not a curated record.